UUAGAGUUUGNAUCCUGGCUCAGAUUGAACGCUGGCGGCAGGCCUAACACAUGCAAGUCGAGCGGUAGAGAGAAGCUUGCUUCUCUUGAGAGCGGCGGACGGGUGAGUAAUGCCUAGGAAUCUGCCUGGUAGUGGGGGAUAACGUUCGGAAACGGACGCUAAUACCGCAUACGUCCUACGGGAGAAAGCAGGGGACCUUCGGGCCUUGCGCUAUCAGAUGAGCCUAGGUCGGAUUAGCUAGUUGGUGAGGUAAUGGCUCACCAAGGCGACGAUCCGUAACUGGUCUGAGAGGAUGAUCAGUCACACUGGAACUGAGACACGGUCCAGACUCCUACGGGAGGCAGCAGUGGGGAAUAUUGGACAAUGGGCGAAAGCCUGAUCCAGCCAUGCCGCGUGUGUGAAGAAGGUCUUCGGAUUGUAAAGCACUUUAAGUUGGGAGGAAGGGCAGUUACCUAAUACGUGAUUGUUUUGACGUUACCGACAGAAUAAGCACCGGCUAACUCUGUGCCAGCAGCCGCGGUAAUACAGAGGGUGCAAGCGUUAAUCGGAAUUACUGGGCGUAAAGCGCGCGUAGGUGGUUAGUUAAGUUGGAUGUGAAAUCCCCGGGCUCAACCUGGGAACUGCAUUCAAAACUGACUGACUAGAGUAUGGUAGAGGGUGGUGGAAUUUCCUGUGUAGCGGUGAAAUGCGUAGAUAUAGGAAGGAACACCAGUGGCGAAGGCGACCACCUGGACUGAUACUGACCACUGAGGUGCGAAAGCGUGGGAGCAA
Molecule: ribosomal RNA, 771 nt
Filed under: Pseudomonas sp. BND-RR2
Lineage: Bacteria; Pseudomonadati; Pseudomonadota; Gammaproteobacteria; Pseudomonadales; Pseudomonadaceae
Description: bacterial SSU rRNA
Rfam family: Bacterial small subunit ribosomal RNA
Source: RNAcentral